AUACGGAGGGUCCAAGCGUUAUCCGGAAUCAUUGGGCUUAAAGGGUCCGCAGGCGGUCAAUUAAGUCAGAGGUGAAAGCCCAUCGCUCAACGAUGGAACUGCCUUUGAUACUGGUUGACUUGAGUUAUACGGAAGUAGAUAGAAUAAGUAGUGUAGCGGUGAAAUGCAUAGAUAUUACUUAGAAUACCGAUUGCGAAGGCAGUCUACUACGUAUAUACUGACGCUGAGGGACGAAAGCGUGGGGAGCGAACAGGAUUAGAUACCCUAGUAGUCC
RNAcentral lists this ribosomal RNA (274 nucleotides) under uncultured bacterium. RNAcentral's name for it is "partial 16S ribosomal RNA". It matches the Rfam family "Bacterial small subunit ribosomal RNA", at positions 523 to 796 of the family's 1533-position model. The record is from RNAcentral.